Molecule: long non-coding RNA, 700 nt
Filed under: Rattus norvegicus (Norway rat)
Lineage: Eukaryota; Metazoa; Chordata; Mammalia; Rodentia; Muridae
Description: long non-coding RNA NONRATT028271
Source: RNAcentral
GGUGACACAAACUUUCACUGGCUCUUGGGCUUACACAUCUGGGACAUUCUGUCUUCCCUCUGUCACACUGUCAUGGCGGCUCCUACCCAACUGCUAGGACCAGGGAGAAGACAGGGUCUGGAUAUUACCCCCGAACAUCACGGACAGGCAGAUGUAGCAAGAAUGAUGCUGGAGAUCUGGAUCCUGCCUUUUCUGCGUACAAGGCAAGCACUUUACUGACUGAGCCAUCUCUCAAGUCUUCCCAAUUUCAAAUCCAGCCUUAUAAUUAGCAUUGGAAAUGCACUCCUAGGGCACUUGGAUGCUCCUUCUCCACCCAGUGCUGUUCUGACAAAGCUACUUAAGAAGAGAUCUCUUCUGGCUUACGGUUCAAGGGUAUCGUUCUGCCAUUGUCGGAACAUGGUCCAAGAAUGGAGUUGUGUGAGGGGAUUUCUGAAUGCUCGGAGAAAACUCCAAGAAGCCAAGAGUUUUGUGACCUCAGUUUCUUAACAGAAUUGUUCUUGGAAUCUGUUUUUCUGUCCCUCUCAGGUGUAGUGGUUAGGAGUGAGUUUACUUCAGAUUACUUGUUACAACUGGUGAUUGUUCUUGGUUUCUAUGCCUCUACUGAGACACAUGUCUCUGUCACACGUAGCCUGUCACUUGAAGCUUGCCCUUGUGAUUGCAAAAACCAUCUGAUGCUCUGAAUAAAGUUGGCCAUUGCGUG